CGAACGCUGGCGGCAUGCCUAACACAUGCAAGUCGAACGAGACCUUCGGGUCUAGUGGCGCCCGGGUGCGUAACGCGUGGGAACCUGCCCUUAGGUUCGGAAUAACUCCCCGAAAGGGGUGCUAAUACCGGAUAAUGUCUUCGGACCAAAGAUUUAUCGCCUUUGGAUGGGCCCGCGUUGGAUUAGCUAGUUGGUAGGGUAAAAGCCUACCAAGGCGACGAUCCAUAGCUGGUCUGAGAGGAUGAUCAGCCACACUGGGACUGAGACACGGCCCAGACUCCUACGGGAGGCAGCAGUGGGGAAUAUUGGACAAUGGGCGAAAGCCUGAUCCAGCAGUGCCGCGUGAGUGAUGAAGGCCUUAGGGUUGUAAAGCUCUUUUACCCGGGAUGAUAAUGACAGUACCGGGAGAAUAAGCUCCGGCUAACUCCGUG
RNAcentral lists this ribosomal RNA (431 nucleotides) under uncultured bacterium. RNAcentral describes it as "partial 16S ribosomal RNA". It matches the Rfam family "Bacterial small subunit ribosomal RNA", at positions 30 to 507 of the family's 1533-position model. The record is from RNAcentral.